UACGUAGGGGGCAAGCGUUGUCCGGAUUCAUUGGGCGUAAAGAGCGUGUAGGCGGCCAGGUAGGUCGGUUGUGAAAACUGGAGGCUCAACCUUCAGACGUCGACCGAAACCAUCUGGCUAAAGUCCGGGAGAGGAGAGUGGAAUUCCUGGUGUAGCGGUGAAAUGCGCAGAUAUCAGGAAGAACACCCGUGGCGAAGGCGGCUCUCUGGAACGGUACUGACGCUGAGACGCGAAAGCGUGGGGAGCGAACAGG
This 253-nucleotide ribosomal RNA is filed under the name uncultured bacterium. RNAcentral describes it as "partial 16S ribosomal RNA". It matches the Rfam family "Bacterial small subunit ribosomal RNA", at positions 524 to 776 of the family's 1533-position model. The record is from RNAcentral.